AGAUUGAACGCUAGCGGGAUGCUUUACACAUGCAAGUCGAACGGCAGCGCGGACUUCGGUCUGGCGGCGAGUGGCGAACGGGUGAGUAAUAUAUCGGAACGUGCCCAGUAGCGGGGGAUAACUACGCGAAAGCGUGGCUAAUACCGCAUACGCCCUACGGGGGAAAGGGGGGGAUUCUUCGGAACCUCUCACUAUUGGAGCGGCCGAUAUCAGAUUAGCUAGUUGGUGAGGUAAAGGCUCACCAAGGCGACGAUCUGUAGCUGGUUUGAGAGGACGACCAGCCACACUGGGACUGAGACACGGCCCAGACUCCUACGGGAGCAGCAGUGGGAAUUUGGACAAGUGGGGGAAACCCUGAUCCGAGCCAUCCCGCGUGUGCGA
Molecule: ribosomal RNA, 381 nt
Filed under: uncultured soil bacterium
Lineage: Bacteria
Description: bacterial SSU rRNA
Rfam family: Bacterial small subunit ribosomal RNA
Source: RNAcentral